ACACCAGAACGGUGCAACUCCUGGUGGACAGCAAGUCCGCCCUGGCCCUGGCAAAGAACCCCGUGUUCCACGAACGGAGCAAGCACAUCCGACUGAGGUAUCACUUCAUCCGCAGCUGUGUGGAAGAAGGGAGCAUCGAGGCGAGCUACAUCAACACCAAGGAUCAGCUCGCAGACCUGCUCACCAAGCCCCUUGGGAGGGUCAAGUUCCUCGAACUUUGCUCCAGGAUUGGGAUGAUUCAACUCUCCCACAAGACGACGUACAAGACUUAGGGGGAGAAUGAUGGAUAAGUCUGUGUACUAGGGUCCUUGUGGGGCUGCAGCACAUGGUCCUUGUGGCAGUUAAGAGGAUAAAGUCCUGGACCAUCAAGGACUGGCUGUUAGGAUAGAGUUCUGUUCUUGACCAUCAAGGACUGUCAGUUAGCAUCUUAGACUAGCAUCUUAGACUAGCAUCUUAGACUGGCAUCUUAGCAGCAUCUUAGCAUAUGCCUUGGCUGGCUAGCAGCCUAUAAAUAUGUAUCCCCAACCCCUCAGGUUGGCUAUGGCAUUGUGUGAGAAAUAAACCAACGAAAAUUGUCCCAACUCUCCUAGUGUCAUCCACAACUAUCAAUGCUCAGGCUGAAAGGUCUAACAGGAGGACAAGGAGAAGGAGGCGAUGAUCCAUCACUGUAGGAUGGGCCAUGUAUCUUUUGAUAAGAUGAGUAGAAUCUUUCCGGAUGUUAUGUGUGGGAUAGGCAAGGGCAAGUUGACAUGUGAUGCUUGCGAAUAUGCCAAACACACACGAGCCUCAUAUGUGAGUAAGGGGCUUAGGAGCAUAUCUCCUUUUAUGCUUAUUCAUUCGGAUGUAUGGAAGAGCCCAGUUGUAUCAAUGAAUGGAAUGAAAUACUUUGUUACAUUCAUCGAUUGCUAUUCUCGUAUGACUUGGAUUUAUUUGAUGCGUCACAAAGAUGAGGUGUUUAGCUGUUUUCAGAAUUUCCAUGCCUUGGUGAAGAAUCAGUUUCAGGUGCAGGUGCAGGUGAUCAGGACUGACAAUGGGACAGAGUAUGUGAACAACACAUUUGGGGCUUACUUGUCUGAUCACGGUAUUCUUCAUCAAACUUCAUGCCCAGACACCCCUCCUCAGAAUGGAGUGGCAGAAAGGAAAAAUCGGCAUAUUCUUGAGGUUGCCCGGUCAUUGAUGUUUACGAUGAAUGUGCCCAAAUUCUUGUGGAGUGAAGCAGUUAUGACAGCCACAUACUUGAUCAACAGGACACCAUCAAGAAUACUAAGCAUGAAAUCUCCGUGUGAGCUAGUAUAUGGAGAAACUAAGUUUGUUGUUCCCCCAAAGUUGUUUGGCAGUACUUGUUUUGUUCGAGAUCACCGUCCUUCUGUUGGAAAACUUGAUCCGCGGGCAGUGAAGUGUAUUUUUCUGGGCUAUUCUUCUAGUCAGCAGGGAUAUAAAUGUUGGUGUCCCUCAGAGAAACGCAGGUUUGUCAGUAUGGACGUAACCUUCAGGGAGUCUGAGCCAUUCUAUGGUGAGCCAACAGAUCUAAGUGUGUUGUUUCAAGAGCUUGACCAUUUCCACUCUGUGCAAGAUGGUCAAGAGGGGGAGAAGGCUGUAUCUCACACUCACGCGGAUUCUGUGGGCACUAACAUUGAUGAUGAUGAUGUGCAGGUUCAAGUCCAGCCAAUUGUGGGUACAAUUUCGGUUGGUACUCUCACUGAUGGUGAUGUGCAGGUACGGGUCCAACCAACCGUGGGUUCCAUUCAGAUUGGUAAUCUCCAGCUCCCUGUUCGAGAUCGGUGGCAGAAGAUCCCCCUAGUGUACUCUCGGCGAGAGCCACAAGUGCCACAGGUGCAUGACUCAUCUGACACUCGUCUGGUAUAUUCUCGGCGGCAGCCACUUGUGCAGGAGGGGGAGCAACAAGUGCAGGGGGAGCAGUCAGUGCAGGGGGAGCAGCAAGGCAGUGGUGCAAGCUCAUCUGACACAGUGGAGCUACCUAUUGCGUUGCGAAAGGGGACACGUGAAGCGGCUGAGAAGGCUUUACCACUGGAGUUUUUGGAUGAUCAUGACAUUGGAAAUUUUGUGUCUUAUGAGGCUUUGUCUCCUUCCUAUAGAGUGUUUGUUGCCUCUCUUCAAACUGUGUCAAUCCCAAAGGAUUGGAAGGCUGCAAAGCAAGAUCCGAAGUGGCAUGAAGCAAUGAUAGAAGAGUUGGAAGCACUGAGGAAAAAUAAGACGUGGGUGCUAACCACAUUGCCGGCAGGAAAGAAAGCAGUGAGUUGUAAGUGGAUCUAUACAGUGAAGCAGAAUCCUGAGGGGAAGGUGGAACGGUAUAAGGCCAGAUUGGUCGCCAGAGGAUAUAGUCAAACUUAUGGAAUUGACUAUGACGAGACGUUUGCUCCAGUGGCAAAGAUGAACACAGUAAGAAUAUUGGUUUCCUGUGCUGCAAACUUUGGGUGGAAAUUGCAUCAAUUAGAUGUCAAGAAUGCCUUCUUGCAUGGUGAGUUGCAGGAAGAAGUGUACAUGGAGAUACCACCAGGUUUUGGUACUUCACUGACAACGGGGAAGGUAUGCAGGCUGAAGAAAUCCUUGUAUGGACUGAAGCAAUCGCCGAGGGCUUGGUUUGAUAGGUUCAGGCGUGCUGUCCGUGCUAUGGGGUAUGGUCAAUGUAAUGGUGAUCACACGGUGUUCUACAGACACUCACUCUCUAAUCGAAAGAUCACCAUUCUUGCAGUUUAUGUGGACGACAUUAUCAUCACCGGAGAUGAUGAGGAGGAAAUAAAGAGAUUGAAGGGGUGUCUGAGCAAUGAGUUUGAGGUGAAGGAUUUGGGCAACCUAAAAUACUUCCUUGGGAUUGAAGUGGCCCGGACAAAGAAGGGAAUAUCUUUGUGCCAAAGGAAAUACACCUUGGAUCUCUUGAGUGACAUGGGCAUGAUGGGAUGCCGUGCAACCCCUACGCCGAUUGAACAAAAUCAUCAAGUGACAGCUCAGUCAGGCGAGUUGGUGAAUAAGGAAGAUUAUCAGAAACUGGUUGGGAGGUUAUUGUACUUGUGUCAUACCAGGCCUGACAUUACGUAUGCCGUGGGUGUGGUGAGCAGAUACAUGCAUGAACCAAGGAGUGGGCAUCUUGAUAUUGUGCACAGAAUUCUGAGAUACUUGAAGGGGACUCCAGGUAAAGGGUUGUGGUUUGCGAAGAGUGGACAUCUUGAAGUGGAUGGCUAUAGUGACUCUGAUUGGGCCAGUUGUCAAGAUGAUAGAAGAUCAACUUCUGGCUACUGUGUGUUUGUGGGAGGAAACUUGGUGUCGUGGAGAAGCAAGAAACAACUUGUUGUGUCUAGAUCAACAGCAGAAGCCGAGUAUAGAGCUUUAUCUCAAGGGUUAUGUGAGAUGCUCUGGGUGAAGUACCUACUGAGCGAGUUGAAACUUCUGAGGAAGGGACCCUUGAAGGUGUGGUGUGACAAUCAGUCAGCUAUAGCUAUUGCUAAUAACCCAGUUCAGCAUGAUAGGACAAAACAUGUGGAAAUUGAUCGCUUCUUCAUUAAGGAGAAACUUGAUGCUGGUAUCAUCAGUCUUACUCACGUCAGCUCUGGGCAGCAGUUUGCAGAUUGCUUGACAAAGGGACUGGGAACGAAGGACUGUAACUUGGCAUGUGACAAGAUGGGGAUGAUAGAUAUCUACCACCCAUCUUGAGGGGGAGUGUUGAACCGGUAUGGGCCCAAGCCCAUCAAGCCUUGUCACUUAGGGCCCAAGCCCAUGUGGAGGUACUGACCUAGAAGGAGGCAUCCAGUCCCCCCGUUCUCAGGAGAGCCGCCACACACACAUACGACACAGCCAAAACAAGGUGAGUCUGCGACACAACAAUCCUUUCGCGCUUUCUUGAAGAAAAUAAUUUUAGCAACAAAAUAUCGAUAUUAUGCUUUUAAGUUACAAACUACAGUAUUUGCCUUCGCAUUUUUUACAAAAUUCCUGUUUAGUACUAAGAAAAGAGCGUAAUAUCCCAUAAAAACAAAAGGGUAUAAUACCCCCAGUCCAUGUUUGGCCCAGGAAGGUUGGUUACUGCUGUGUUACUCCCCCACGCGGCUACUUGUGUAGUUUAGAGAAGCAUAUUUGUGCUAAGGAUAUCUAUCAUCCAUUCCUGUUGGUUUGGGUUGGACAUACCUAGGAUCGCCAAUCAUUUGAUACUUAUAUCAUAUAGGAGUAGUUCUAGUUUGAUUAAUUUUCUUCUGAUCCAGACUUCAGGCAUACAGGAGGAUAAAGGAGGGUAUCCUGUUCCUAUCCUCCCAAACGUAAGUGCCAGUGUGUUGCACAUGAAUGUUGAAGUCCAUCUAGUAAGACUUCCAUAUGUGACUUCUACAAGUAUACGGACACGGAUAUUAGAUUAAAUGCAAAAGCAUACCAGUUAAGCACCUGUUUGUCUUGAAACUUUCAAAACCAUAUAUGUCCAGCACACCAAUCAAAAUCUUUGAGUCUGGAUCUUGGCCAAUGGAACUAUUGAUUUUAUUUACAAGCCUGUAACAGUGGGGAACACAGUAUUCAUAACUAAUCUUGUCUACGCCAGAUAUACAGAAGCACAAAGAAACCUUCCAAAAUGAUGGUUUCCAGACUUACCAAUCAAACAAGCGCGAGUAAACAAUCCUAGACAAUGCAUCUCUGCUAAGAGCUGCACCCUUUGCAUCUAAAUUUUUUGUAAUACUCUCUCCACGUGUUGCCAUAACACGCUUGCACAAAGAUUCCUCAAGACCCUUUGCAUCGCACCUGCAGAAUGUUUGCCGGUGAAUGUUUGUUCAUAAAAAGUAUGCAAGAAGGAACUUUCUGAAAAUAUUCAAAAGAAAAUACUAAAUAAAUAUAUACAUGAAAAGCUCAGCUGCUGUCUUAAGAUGGAACUGAGAUUUCUCAUCUUUGGGUGCAGAGGAAUCUUCUUCCUUUCCUUCUCCAAAUUCUACAUUCCCCAAAUGAAGAAUAGCAGCUACAACUUUGAAUAUUGCAUCCUAAAAGACAUGUCAAAUUGUAUGUCAAAAGACUGUUCCUCUGCUGCUGAUGUACAAAACUGGUUGCUGGUGAAAUUGGUCGUACCUGUUCCUCAUUACUCAUACCUACAAUACCCAUAGCUCUUCUGGUUUCGACAUAUUCUUUGGAGUCAUCAAACCCAUUAAGUUCAAUGCAAUUAGACUGGUUGAGAUAGCGAAAUGUUUUAGCCUCUCCCAAUUUAUAUUUCGCUCGUUCCUGAUAAUCAUAUUCAAAUAUCAAAGCUAUAGAUCAGUGCACUACAUAUGAUUUAUAUAGAACACUCGAAUUUACAAAGGGUUGCCCAACGUUAAAUAACAAAAGGCGGACCAGAUGAUGUAACAAAUCAAUAAAAAUGCUAAGUAGAUGAUUUACAGUUGCAAAUCAACAUCUUAAUGUCUUAGUUCCAUCUUACAAUUGCUACUCAUCUUAUUUGAAAAUCUAAUAUCUCUAAAAGAACAAUUUACUUGCGAGAAAUGCAUGAGAAACUAUAUCUUUCUUGAGAUGAUUAUGUUUAAACCUAUUUUACAGAAUGCAGAAGCAAAGUUUCAGCCGGUAGCGGUUAGCCUCUUUAUGCGUGAGCGCCCUGAGGUUUUUACGAAUAUCUUGAGUUUUUACAGUGCGGAAUAGGAUAUGCUUCAGAUUAGUGGGUAUUGUAGUCAAUUGUUGUACAGCAGUUGCGAACAAAAUAUAAGUUAAACAAAAUGUAGUAAUUCACAAAUAAAUAAUGUGGUUCCAAGAAAAUUCAGAAGAAGACCAUAGUGAACAGGAUCUUACUUCUGGUGCAGCACACAGCAUGUAAAAGCAGUGAUAGUUCCUUUCUGGGUCAGAUAUUUGACAGACACGUGACCUUUCCAGAAGAUAAGUCCUUAUGGCGGCUCCUGAAAUCUUCCCGUACUGGUCAAACUGAAUCUCAACAAAUUUGCCAAACCGACUGCAGAAUCAAGAAAGGGAAUAAGAUGUAAAGCAAAAAUCCUAUGAAGAUAAUACAUUGAAGUUGUGUAAGUAAAUCAAUGCUAGUUCAUUACCUUGAAUUAUUAUUCCUAACUGUUUUUGCAUUGCCGAAUGCCUCAAGAACAGGGUUGGACUGUGUCAGGUAAGUAGAGCAUGUCAGAACAUAAUGUGAAUUACUACAUACUAGUGCUUCUUAACCACUUUUUUAGAACUUGCCAGGUGCGCUUGUGCUACCAGCAAAAGAAGGGCACUGAGAAACGCACCUCUAGGAUUUGUUCUUGCACUGACCUUCCUUCAGCUUUAGCUUUACCACCCAUAAAAGCAAGAUACUGCAUAAGACUUUUAGUGCUUUCUGUCUUACCAGCUCCACUCUCUCCACUCACUAAUAUUGCUUGGCUGAUACGAUCGUUGAUCAUAAGUCUGGGAAGAAUAAAGAUAGGGUGCGAAUUGGUUAUUAUUGUCAGGUAAAAUGUUGAAUCUGAGAAACUGCAGCGGCAGUGGGGGACGAACGCACCUAUACGCACGGUCGGUGAUAGCAAAUGGAUGGGGACUCAGCUCACCGAAUUCUGCUCCUUUGUAAAUUCCCAUCAUGUGGUUGUUAUAGAGGUGGGGGAGUCUUUGGAAUGGAUUCACAGCUAUCAAAAUAUUCCCAGUGUAAGUCUGGAAGAAGAAUUUAAUCCAUUAGAGAAGCUGCAAGAAGAUGAAUAGUAUCUCAAAUGAAAAAGGUACUUUUGUGCACAUGAAGAAGGUACGUAGUUGCUCAGAGCAUUUUUCAUGAUGGAAUUCCACUGGCUCAUGGAAAAUUAACCUGGAUGUCAAUUUGUUGUGGGACUCAACUUACGUAUAUCUCAUUGAGGGCGUAUCUGGACUUGAGGUUCUGGAGCACUCCUGGCUCGUGCAGAUAGGCGAGCCUGGUCAUAUCCUCGACACCACCACGCGGGGAUUCCGUGUCCUUGGGAAAGGCGGUCGAGACAUUAACGGUGGCCUUCUUCCCGUUGGUGCAGUUUAUGACAAGGUCCUCCCCGUUGACCUCCUCCACCUGGCCAUCCAUCCAUGCCUCGUCUGCAUCUUCGAUCCAGACAUGAGAGCCGACGACAAAGCGGCUUUUGGUUUUGGACGCCUGCAGCAACGACGACAAGAUUGACAUUAAUCUACAUUCCCUUUUAUCAGUUAUGGCUGAAAUUAAUCCGCAUCACAAGAUGUUUCAAGAUGUUCCAGAUGUGGGCGUUGUUGAAUAAAGAACCAAAAUUCGGCUAAGGAGCGUUGAUCGCGUCGGGGCAUUUCAUCAAACAGUUGUUGAGGCCACGCCAAAGGGGUCGCAUUUGGGGCCAAGAACCGAUUUUGACCCGGCGGAUUGAAUGGAGGGGAAGAAGGAUGGGAUGCGGUACCAUUGUCGGUGGGGCGCGGCUGGGCGACGAUGAGAAGAGAUCAGAGGGAGGCCGGCCGCAUCAACUCCGUCCCGCGGCGGCAGGCCGAAUGCGAGCGGUGCCGGUCGAACGGCGGCCGCACCACCACCGCACCGCAGCACGCGACCGCGACGGGGAAUGUGGGGGGAGAAUGAAUGAAAUCCUAGGGAGCAGGGUCGAAUCCACGGCGAGCGAGCAUUGCCGUCCGUCGACAGCAACGCGGUGGUGGUGGUGGUGGCGAGAUUUCCUUGGGCUCGCUCUGGUUGUGGAGCUCCCUUACUUUUUUUAGCAGCGGGUGUGGGGAGGAGGGGGAAGUGGUGGUGGUCAUGGGAUGCAAUGCAAGAAUGGAGGAGCCGCCCCCGCACCCCCGCGCCAUUGCCAUUGCCACACACCGAGAAGAAUGCGGGAUGCUCUUCCCUCACACACAAACCAGCACAUGCCACUUUCCCUUCCCCCUCUCUCUCUCUCAUGGGUGGGUGGGUUCUCUUGGGCCGGCCCGCCGGGCCCGUGGGCCGGCAUUCAUUAAAGCUGGCCAUAUGGGCCGUGUCAUGCGGGCCGGCCCGUGGUCAGGGAAAUUUGGCCCGACACGCGGUUAAAAGGGCUGGGUCGGCCUUUGGCCCACCAUGGGACAAAGGCCAAUCUCGAAAGCCGGUCCUUAAGGCCGGACACAACACGUCUUUUCUAAUUGUGGGCCAGCACGACACGGCCUGACGCGGUAUGCGGCCCAUCUGGCUUGUAACUAAGAUUUUCUUUUCCAUUUUUAUAUUUUGUAUUAAAAAAAUCUUUUUUCCCUGUUUUUUCUUCUUAAUUUUUUAGAUUUUUUCGAAUCUAAAAGACAAAAGGCCUAAAGGCCUAAAGGCCCACCAGGCCAAAAAGCAAUGCAGGUCGGCAUGCAGCAAGGUCGUGUCGGGCCAAUCCCCAUGGCCAGGUCUUUGGGCUGGCACGACACGACCCUCUACAAAUGGGUCGACACAGGUUGUGCGUGCUAGGCCUUUUUACAAACGAGUAGUGUUGGGUCGGCCAGGGCAUGUGGCCAGAUUUGGUCGGCGUCCUGGACCUUUGAUGGGCUUUCCCUAGCCCUUUGCCCCCCAAAGCCCAAAAUAUUAUUUAACAAAAUCACCGCAUUCACUUCGUCAUCAUCAGACAUCACACAACGGGCUAGAAUAUGUCACUAUACAAAAGAAUGAAAAAUUGGAGGAAGAGUAUCAAGUUGAAGGAAGAGAGAUAGUGCUAAGAGACUUGCCCUUGUGGUGACUGGCUCUUGUUACUCUCCCUCUCCUGAGGUCUCCUCCACCCCAUUCGCUGUCGGCCUCUCUCUCUCUCUCUCUCUCUCUCUCUCUCUCCUUUGGUUGUCUAGGAUGGAGAGAGUGGUCUGGUUCUUGUGUGUGUUAUGUAGGCCGUCUUUCUUAAUGAAUAAACUAGAUCUGUUGUGUGCUCUCAUCCUUACGGUGGUCUUGACUGUGGCCAUGGAGGUUGGAUUGGCGACCGACCAGUGUGGGGCACCUGGCUGGAUCCGAGGCGCUGGUUUAUUAUAAUAAAUCUGCUCGUCAAUGCCUGGAUGAAUUUGAUAACUACAAUGUUAAGCAAGAACAUUUUAAUAUGUAUGUUAGCAAACAACUAAAACAUAAUGCUCUCAUGAUUGAUCGUUUGAGUGAUUUGAUAUUGAGAAUUGCUAGUAAUGUUAAGGGCUUAAGUAAGCAUUCAUCCAUGGUACAUUCUCAACUAGAACAAAUUGCUAAGUCACAGAAUAAUUUGCUCAACAAAAUGAAUGAUCAUGUUGUUAUGGUAAUGAAUAGAGGAGGUAAAAUGACCCAGGAUCCUCUAUAUCCUGAAGGUCAUCCUAAGAGAAUUGGGCAAGAUUUUCAGAGAAUUAAUAUUGAUGUGCCUAGUUCAUCUAAGAAGAAAAAGAAAAAGAAAGAUGAUAGAACUUUGCAUGCUUCUAGUGAACCUAUGGUAGAAAAACCUUCUGAGAAUAACAAUGAUGUUUCUAUUUCUGAUGCUGAGAAACAAUCUGGCAAUGAACAUACACCUAGUGAUAAUGACGAUGUCCAUAUUAAUGCCCAACCAGAUAAUAAUGAUAGAAAUAGAACAUGUUGUUGAUCUUGAUAACCCGCCUCCUAAGAAUAAAGGAUAUAAUAUAAAUGAUUUCAUUGCUAGAAAACAUGGUAAGGAAAGAGAGCCAUGGGUUUAAAAACCUAUGUGUUUUCCUAUUAAACCUUCAAAAAAAUAAGGAUGAGGGAGAUUUUGAAAGCUUUGUUGAAAUGCUUAGGCUAGUCUUUUUGCGUACUCGUUUGGCUGAUAUAUUGAAAAUGCCUCCAUAUGCUAAAUACAUGAAAGAUAUUGUCACAAAUAAAAGAAAGAUACCUGAAACUGGAAUUUCCGCCAUGUUUGCAAAUUGAUCUUUUAAGGGUGGACUCCCUAAGAAGUUAGGAGAUCCAGGAAUACCCACUAUACCAUGCUCCAUUAAAAAAAGUUAUGUGAAAACUACCUUAUGUGAAUUAGGAGCCGGUGUUAGUGUUAUGCCUUUCUCAUUAUAUUCUAGUGAUGGGCUUCCUCAAAUGCCCGAGGUGUUCAUGAGCAAGCAAAUUGAAUGCACACCCGCUUAGUCGUCACGUUGAGAUUUCAUACACUUAUAGCCCUUAGCGCAUCCGUUACAUGGCGAUCCCUACUGCUCGCAUUGACAUCAAUUAAUGGGCAUCUUCAUAGCCCGUCGAUUAGCCGCGUUGAUGUCAGACUAUCUUCCUUUUUGACUUCCCCUUAUUGAUCUCUACCACCACAUUCUAUUUCACAAAUAGUGCUAUAUCCAUGGCUUGCGCUCAUGUAUUUCGUGAGGGUUGAAAAAGCUGAAGCGCGUUAAAAAGUAUGAACCAAUUACUCGACUUGACAUCGGGGUUGUGCAUGAUAAAUACUUUGUGUUAAGAAGAUGGAGCAUGACAAGACUAUAUGAUUUUUUAGGGAUAACGUUCUUUAGCAUUUUUUGUUUUGAAAGGCAUGAUUAUUUGUUAGUAUGCUUGAGUAUUGAUGUCUUUAUGUCAAAUUAUAGAAAAUUCGGGAAGUGGUCUCCAAAUUGGGAAGGUCUUUUCAAGAUCAUAAGAGUGGUUCCCAGAAACUCGUAUUUGAUUGAAUCCAUUCAAGGAAUGUUGCUACCUCGAGCUCUCAACGGCAAGUAUUUAAAGAAGUAUCGCCCAAGUGUGUGGCAAGAAGCCUAAAUAGGCAACAACCAAUAUAUGAUUAUCGCCUAAGCAAAGACAUGACCGAUAUAUAACUAUCAUCCUAAGCAAAUACAUGACCGACAUAUAAUUAUCGCCUAAACACAUAUAAAUGGCCGAUGGAGUUUUGACAUCGUCCUUAGAUCAAGCUUUGUGCAAGUUAUUUUUUUGGCAUGCAAGCUUUGCCAAAAAAAUGGGGGCAAGUGUUCACACCAGAUUAUGGUACGGUCAAAAAUGUAAUUAAAAUGACCUCAAAUAGAAAAGUUCUCAACAUAUGAUAGUUCCGUAUGGUCGAAAUGAGAAACUUUGAUGUUUGAGUCAUCAACGUCCGAUCUCAUGUAAAGGGCCGAAACUGUGCUCAAAGUAAUAAGAUUUUUGCGACUCAGAGUACUGUUCGGCUAAUUACACCUCCAAGAGUGCCUUAUAUGAGAAAACUUUGUACAUGAAUUGUUUUCGUCUCGUCAAAAUGGUCGAUUUUGGUAUAAACAUCGUGUUAAUCCGGGGUCGUAUGCAAAAGUUAAGAGAUAUCGGAGUGGGCCUACUAUGAGGCAAGAUAUGGCGGUGUCUGAUGGGUAGCACCACAGAUUUGCUGUUUUGCGCGAGAGAUUCGGCGCUCUAGAUGGCUUUGAAUCGAAAAAUACUCAACAUGAAAGUUGUUAGCCUCGUCGAAACGAAUAAAUAUGCUUUUGGGCUAAUUUCCAUCGAAGGUCAUUUACUGCCUCAAAAUUGACCCAUAAGAUGCAGCCAGGUUAUGAACCGAACACUUUGGGAAAGUUCGGAUUUUGAGUUGGACCGAAACUAGGGUUUUAAACGUGAGUUUUAACUUUUCCUUGCAUGAGAAGUCCAACCGCCUCUUACAUAUAUGAGGGGUGAUGGCCGAUUGAAACAAUAACACACAAUUGCAAACCAUAUACCAUUUUUUCAUCUAUGUUUUAUGUCCCCCUCGUUCUUCGUCGUUCUUUGUGUUGGAGAGCUGCGAAUCCUGAGGCUCUAGGGGCGGGUUGACCGACCUAAGGCACCCCAUAGCCUCUGCAUUCCCCGAUGGGGUCCCUCCCGAGAGUGUGGGGUUUCGGGUCCUCGAAAUUUCUCGCCGGCCGACUUGCGAAUUGCGCUUCUGGUGAGACUCCUUCAAUGUGAGUUGUGGUGCAUCACUCCCGACGCUGAGGGUACACGUGACGUGUUCGUGUGCGAAUAAGGGUACACAUAUUUAUCACAUAGUACGUUUCCAACACACUUAGUUGCAGCCACACUGAAUAUUAUAGACAUGCAUUUGUAGUGGGCCGACAUUUCCAAUUGUGUGCGCAGUGGCACACAUACUACGGUCACCUUUCCUCAACAAAAUAUCACAAAAUUGCAAUUGGGUCCUAGUGUCAGACAGCAACUGCCCCUUUGUGAGGAAAACACCACACAGUACCAAUCGCGUUAAAGACACGCAAUNNNNNNNNNNNNNNNNNNNNNNNNNNNNNNNNNNNNNNNNNNNNNNNNNNNNNNNNNNNNNNNNNNNNNNNNNNNNNNNNNNNNNNNNNNNNNNNNNNNNNNNNNNNNNNNNNNNNNNNNNNNNNNNNNNNNNNNNNNNNNNNNNNNNNNNNNNNNNNNNNNNNNNNNNNNNNNNNNNNNNNNNNNNNNNNNNNNNNNNNNNNNNNNNNNNNNNNNNNNNNNNNNNNNNNNNNNNNNNNNNNNNNNNNNNNNNNNNNNNNNNNNNNNNNNNNNNNNNNNNNNNNNNNNNNNNNNNNNCCUACUGGUCGGCUUGCAACUGCCCCUCCUGAUAAAAUACCACAAAUUUAAAGUCAGGGCACGAUACUUACAGUCAUGUGCCUAAUGGUAUACAUGCAACUGCCCCUUUGUUGGUGUCAAAACCGGCGGAUCUUAGGUAGGGGGUCCCGAACUGUGCGUCUAAGAUCGAUGGUAACAGGAGACGGGGGACACGAUGUUUACCCUGGUUUGGGCCCUCUCUAUGGAGGUAAUACCCUACUUCCUGCUUGAUUGAUCUUGAUGAAUAUGAGUACUACAAGAGUUGAUCUACCACGAGAUUGUAAUGGCUAAACCCUAGAAGUCUAGCCUGUAUGAUUAUGAUUGUAUCCUACGGAGUAAACACUCCGGUUUAUAUAGACACCGGAGGGGAUUAGGAUUAUACAAAGUCGGCUACAGAGAAAAGAAUCUUCAUAUCCAAACGCCAAGAUUGCCUUCCACGCCAAGUAGAGUCCCAUCCGGACACGGGAUGAAGUCUUCGGUCCUGUAUCUUCAUAGCCCAUCAGUGCGGUCCAUGUCAUAUAGUCCGGCUGUCCAAGAACCCUUAAUCCAGGAGUCCCUCACCCCUUCCCCAAUGAAACACCAAAUAGUUGCAGCGGUGUGGGACACUUACAGUUGUGUGCUUAGUGCUAGGCAUGCAAAUACCCCCACCCUAAAGAACAAACUGCUAAGUAGCAGUCGUGUUGAGGACAUACAAUUGUAGUCGAGGGCGAUUGUGCAACCAAAUGGUAAUAUUUUAAAUGAAAAUGGAAUUAUUGUUUAUUCAGAAAAUAAGAUUUGAAAAAUGUAGUAGUAAUGUAAAAAUAAGUAAAAAGAAAAAACAGGAUAAAGAUGAAAAAACAACACCAGAACAUAGACCAAAAAAAUCAUUUCAAACGCUUAUACAAGAAAAUAAAAUAAAGUGAAGAAAUAUACAAAUUAGUUAGCCCCGAAGUAAGAUGCGUCUCUUAGGACCGCAAAUGUUAUACUAAGAGACGUAUGCUUUCUCAGUAUGCUUUCUCAUUAUCUAGCCCAUUUCCAUCGUAUUUUUUCUCAUUGACUGGCUUCUAUCGAGGUCGCUGGUAUCAUUUUCUGUCUUUCUUUGUUUUUGAUCUGUUUGUUCUUUCUCUAUUUUUACUAGUUUUUUCUUUCUCCGUUUUUCUUUGUCGAUUCUCACGGGUUUUCAAACAUACAUAUAGUUUUCAACACACAAUAUUCAUUCUUAGUACACAAUGUAAAUGCGAAACAUUUAUACACUGAAUUUUUAUUAUAUACAUUUUUGUUUAAUGCAUGUUUUAAACACUUUCUGAAUAUAUGGUCAAAAUAUUUUUAAAUAGACAUUGAACAUUUUUAAGAUAAUAAACAGUUUUCUAAAACUAUGCAAACAUUUUUUACAUUGUAAUCAAUAUUUUUUAUAUGUCACAAAUAUUUUUUUAAACUCGAGAACAUUUCUUUAAAAUGCCACAUACAUAUUUUCUGUGGUAUAAAACCUUUUUUUGUUCUCUUUCAAAAUAGAAGUUAUACAACACAAAACAUUUUUUACAUUGUAUAAACGUUUUCACAUUUUUUUGGGGCCUGUAGGGCACAUCUUGACAGACCCUUGUUUGGGUAUGUCACAUUUUCUUUUUACGAAUGUUUGGGCUUACGUACAGCAUGCAGCUUCGAGACCCUGUUGCCCGGCCCGGCCGUGUCCUGUCCUCGCAGAAGCACAAGACUGUACCGUACAUCAUCGCUCUGCAUGUGGGACACGUAGACGUACGUGCGGCCACAGAUUGAAGAAUUUUUCUUUUUAUAUAGUGAUUGAAGAACUUGAUUUUAUACGGGUGCCCAUUCGCUGAGCACGCCGCACCGCACAAUACACAUCCAUGCGUAUACGUUUCCAGAUUAGUUUGUAUGUACUGAGCAAGCAGCUAAAAGAAGCUUCUGCGAGCGCGCUGCCGAUCGGAGAAAGAAGACGGUUGCACUUGAGUUGCAUGCAUGGGCACAUCACAAUUGGAAGUAGAGUAGUACGUACUAAAUUAAACAAGUGCAGCCGUUCAUCCACAUCCAGACAUGCAUUGUCUGGUCGGAGAAGAAGCACAUAAACACACACACACACACACACACACACACGCUAAGAAGAACCAUACUGCAGUACCACACAUGUACGCAUGCACCGUACGUCGUCCCUACAAAAAAGAACACUAGUACAUGCCUACCGUGAACACAAACCCACCAGGUAUGCGUACAACGUACGGUCACACACACACAUACAUACAUACACCUUAUUAUCCGCCCGUCACUGUCACCGCCGAUUGAGGCGAUGGAGCAUACCCGAUUCAGACCCUGGCGACGCCGCCGGUGCCCAUUCCCUUGUUGUGCGGGUCGCCGGCGCCGUACGCGUGCUCCGCCGGAUACCCGCCAGCAUGGUUACCACCGAACUGGUUGCCGAAGAGGCCAGAGUGCAGCGCUAUCACGUACAGCAGCUGCGUGAAGGCCAGGAUAAUGACGAACGCCUCCAGCACCCGGAGGCGCCACCCGCGGUACCCGCCGAUGUGGAUCUCCUUGCACGCCAGCCCGAACGCCAAGGCGGUGACCGCCCACGCCACCAGCGAGGAGGACGCAGAGGUGGCGAGGCUGUCCCCGCGCCAGGUGCGGACGUGGUGCACGCCGGCGAGCUUGGAAGCGGCGCCAACGACCCCGGCUAGGAUGGCGAAGACGAGGAAGUAGAAGGUGGCGCCGUUGCCGCCGACGCCGGGGCGGUUGGUGAGGCCGUUGAUGAAGUGGUUGAGGUUCCAGCUGGCGAAGCCGAUGACGAUGAGGUAC
This 15085-nucleotide long non-coding RNA is filed under the name Triticum aestivum (bread wheat). RNAcentral describes it as "long non-coding RNA (TAES_LNC008254)". The record is from RNAcentral. Lineage: Eukaryota; Viridiplantae; Streptophyta; Magnoliopsida; Poales; Poaceae.